AUACGGAGGGGGCAAGCGUUGUUCGGAAUUACUGGGCGUAAAGGGCGCGUAGGCGGGAAGUCAAGUUAGGGGUGAAAGGCCUGGGCUCAACCUAGGAACUGCCUCUAAAACUGGCUAUCUAGAGUCCGGGAGAGGAUGGCGGAAUUCCCAGUGUAGAGGUGAAAUUCGUAGAUAUUGGGAAGAACACCAGUGGCGAAGGCGGCCAUCUGGUCCGGCACUGACGCUGAGGCGCGAAAGCGUGGGGAGCAAACAGGAUUAGAUACCCCAGUAGUCC
RNAcentral lists this ribosomal RNA (274 nucleotides) under uncultured bacterium. Its description in RNAcentral is "partial 16S ribosomal RNA". It matches the Rfam family "Bacterial small subunit ribosomal RNA", at positions 523 to 796 of the family's 1533-position model. The record is from RNAcentral.